CUUUUAAAGAAAAGUAAAAAAAGGAAACACUCCUUCCCAUACCGAACAGGAAAGUUAAGCUCUAUAGCGCCAAUGGUACUGCAUGGGAGACUGUGUGGGAGAGUAGGACGUUGCCAGG
Molecule: ribosomal RNA, 118 nt
Filed under: Clostridium sp.
Lineage: Bacteria; Bacillati; Bacillota; Clostridia; Eubacteriales; Clostridiaceae
Source: RNAcentral